UUCCCGCGCCUGCUGUGUCACUGAUAAGUAGACUUUGCCAGUUCAGACUGGCCGAGUUGCAGACACUUGUCAGGAACACCACCUUAUCUAUGUGCCGUGGCCUUUGUUUGCUCUCAUACUUGUACAUGCUGCACUGCAGGUCUUAGAACACCGAUGCUGUGGCAGCUAUAAAUCGAUGGAUGGAUGACAGGAAGUGUCUUAACUGGAACGGUGAAAAUAAGUUUAAAAGGAGGUGUAAUAUCAGGAAAAAAAGUUGUCUCUGACUGACGGGACUUUAUUCACCGACCCCUACACUCUCACUCACUCGAUGGACAGUUUGACCAAAGGAGGACACAGAGGGGGCGAAGUCUGGUCUGUCUUCAUCAACUGAAGCCUCUCCAGAAAAGAUAUUUCAAUAAGUUUCCUUCCACCUGCUUGGAGAGGGAAAGUGUUCAGUUGUAAUCUGCAACAUCACCACGAGAUGGCAUUAAAUUCAACAUGUUGGUCCUUUAACGUCAAAUAAACAGUUGCCUUUUUGUCUAGAGCAUGACCUGAGACGCAACAUGUGUAACAGAAGGAUGACACGUGAUGUUCAUGAGCCUCAAAGGAAAACAUUCUUCUCCUCUUUAAACUUAAUACAUAUUUGGAAAUCUACACUAAUCUACACAUAAAGGGUUAUGUGGCAUCUGUCAUCAAGGUGUACAGCGGCAUCUUCGUCAAAUGGAAAGAAUUCAACAAUUUGUAUUUCUCUCCAACUCCAUUUGUGUAAUUUAUGAUAUAUUUAGUGUCAGAGCUGAAAGAAGAGAGUGAAACAUCUUGAUCUUCGUCGUCGAUUACGACGUUUGUGUGAAAGCUGAACGUGGUGUGAAAACACGUCGCACCAAGGGUGACGGCUUUGGAUUCGACAGACUGUCGACAGGAGAAAACAAGCAGCACCUCUUAGUAACAGACUGUGGAAAUACCGCUAAUAUAUGCUGUUUUCUUCGUGCAGCACUUUAAAUGCCUGCUGUUAAAAGCCUGAGAUCCUCAGGGACCAGGCUGUUAAGGCUGCUCUGAGUCACCUCAGAAAACAAAACAACUCUAAAACUUUGCAAGCACUGUUCCAGAUAUUUUAGAUUUCUUCUUUUAAUGACAUAUAUAUGUGCAAAAGUACUUUUUCUGAAUAUUUUUUUAGUCUUUCUGAUAUAAUUAUUUUAAUCUCGUCUAGGUAGUUAUAGUCAACUCUCACAGUAAAACACAAUGAGUUUGUCCUUACAGCACCUUGGCUGCAGUCUUGCUAAAAGAGAAAAUCAACAACAGGAGACAAGCAAAACCAUAAGAGAAAAGCUACUGGAGAAUUACUUUACAAUCAAGCAGAUUCAAUCAAAGACUUCAGAAUACAAGAGAAAAACCAAGUCGCAUACAAUACUGAUACUGUAAUGCUGCGUCUGUGUAUGUUUUCUAUUUGUACAGUAGACAGAUGACUUCAUCUUAGAUUGUAAUACACACAGAUAACACAUGACUCAUUCACUUGGCGAGGCCAGUAAAAGAAGAAACUGCAGGAGCGACUUCAGCUCCAUGCAGCGUGUUCAGUCUUAAUAAAAUGAUGUCUGGGUACGGUGGGUCGAUCCUGCGAGGGACUUUGUUAAUGCUUUCCUAAUGACAUAAUGAAAAUGUUUUAUGUAAAGUGUUUCUAGAUGAGUAAGGAAGAACUGUCGGCCUGUGUGUGCAUCUGGUGACGUCAAUCUGUUUUGAUAAUAACAAAAGUUGGGUGUCACCUCAUGCAGGUCUGUCUCGCUGUCUGUCGGUCAGUGAGUAAAAGCUGAAUGGCAAUGUGCACUGAAGUAACCUGGUAAUUGUCUGUUGUGUGUUGUAACCCUGUUUCUUAAAUGUCAUGCAAACAAAAAAAAAAAAAAAAAAAAAAUUUUGCAACGUUUCCCAGGAAGGAGACUGUGUCCAAAACAAAUCCCGGUCUCACUGGAAUUGAAACGAUUUUGUAAAUAAGGUAGUUUCCACCACUUGUUGACAUCUGCAUAUGAAGUUUAAUUUCCCUGCUGUGACCAAGUACCGUACAUAUUGACAUUUCAUUUCAUUUCACAGAUUUUCAUCGAAUUAUGAAUUGCACUGAUCGUAUCCUUGUGACAACAAAUAAAACCAUCAAGCCACACCAAACCAGCUCUGACCAGACCGGAGAGCACUUCUAAGAACCCUGUAAUAAAAAAGGAUGUAGGCCUGCAAUCCCCCAUUGAUCAUUUGGAAAGCUUGUUUCUUUGAAAUAACUAUAUAACCCCCUCAUAAUGAAUUUCACACCGUUUCCCUCUGAACUGAGUGUGGACAUUCCUUCGUAUCCAAGGACAGUCACUGGGAACUAACUUUUACACCCACGAUAACAAUGGACGCUGGCGUCACGGUCCGAGGCGUGUUUGAUAAAAUCAUGCACUACAUGGGCCGUAUUUGUCAUGUCAAUGACCAGCCAAUAGACGAUGAGCGCUUUUGUGGAAUAAAGCAAUCGAAGGCCAAACGUAAACACACCCGCAUGCCUCGUGUCUGCUGCCUCACAUCCCUUUAGGGAGCUGGUUUACUGUAGUAAAACAGCCGAGAAGAGCAGCUGUUUUACGACGGCUUAUUACAGCACCGAUAUCUGUCACAUUGAAAGUCAGAUCACACAAGUACACAAAAACAGUCUCUUGAGUACACACAGUUGUAUGUGUUUUAUAUUGUAAUAAUUUUAAUAUUUGCUCAGUUUGGAGCACGCCGAUGUAACACCUCUAGACGACUGACCAGUGAGUAAAAUCAACUCCACCGCAUACAGCAAAUCUUUAAUAGAGAGACACAUUUGCCAUAGACUCUCAGAUGUCAACAGCACCUAAUGUAUAUGCAGACUAACAAAUUCAAAGUGGACGUUCAGUGUGGGUGGCUCCAUGUCACCAUUUCGGCAGCACCUGACUCCAAAAACUCCACCUAACUCCUGACUAAUUUAAAAAUACUCAAAGAAGUAAAGCUGAAACUAACACCUAGGUGAUCAGACACCCUCCAGUCACUCGAAGUAUUCCCACCCUUGUUGCUGUUUAACUUAAAGCAUAAACAUUAGUUUAACUGGUCUAUAGAGAGCAGGCUGUAAACAUUUGCAAUAAUAUCGGUCACUGAAAAUUACUGCAUGCUAAUUAAGUAUUCCCUGAAGUUAACCAGGUCAGACUAUAUCAUGUGAGUCAACCCUAACAAUGACACAUACCAGCCUCUGUGUACAAGUCAAACUCAUUUAUAUUAAAGGUGCCUUGUGAAGUUUUUGUCCACUAGUAGCGCCAAAGAGCAAUGUUUGAAAAAGCUUUUAUUACACACAUUGCCAACCUUACAAGUGUGUUACGAGAAAAGAAAUACAAAAAGUCCUGUUCUUCAUCAGAUCUUAGAUCAGAUCAGACCUCCUUCUUCAUCUAGAAGUCUUUCUUUCUUUCUUUCUUUCUUUCUUUCUUUCUUUCUCUAAUUUUUCUCUGUUGUUAUGUCAGUUAUAUUCAUUCAUGAUCAUGUUCCCCUUUGCUGCUGUUUUCCCUUUUCUUUAUUUUUUUGUAUUCCUUUUUUUUUCCUCUACACAUAUAAUUAAGAACUGAUUCUGAGUUUCAAGAUAAGGGGUACAACUAGAAAAGUCACUGACUUCAUCCUACUCUUUUUGAAUAAAACAAAACACUCAUACUUGUA
Long non-coding RNA from Mugil cephalus (flathead mullet), 3651 nucleotides. RefSeq lists it as uncharacterized. The transcript has 2 exons. Lineage: Eukaryota; Metazoa; Chordata; Actinopteri; Mugiliformes; Mugilidae. The record is from RefSeq and is a predicted model, not a curated record.